GAUGAACGCUGGCGGCGUGCCUAACACAUGCAAGUCGAACGGAGUCCAGCCUUUAAGACCUUCGGGUCAAAGAGGGGAAGACUGAGUGGCGGACGGGUGAGUAACACGUGGGCAACCUGGCUCAUAGAGGGGGAUAACAGAGAGAAAUUUCUGCUAAUACCGCAUAAGCACACACUGCCGCAUGGCAGAGGGUGAAAAGAGAAUCGCUAUGAGAUGGACCCGCGUCUGAUUAGCCAGUUGGCAGGGUAAGAGCCUACCAAAGCGACGAUCAGUAGCCGAUCUGAGAGGAUGAACGGCCACAUUGGGACUGAGACACGGCCCAAACUCCUACGGGAGGCAGCAGUGGGGGAUAUUGCACAAUGGGGGGAACCAUGAUGCAGCGACGCCGCGUGAGUGAAGAAGUAUUUCGGUAUGUAAAGCUCUAUCAGCAGGGAAGAUAAUGACAGUACCUGAAUAAGAAGCCCCGGCUAACUACGUG
Molecule: ribosomal RNA, 478 nt
Filed under: uncultured bacterium
Lineage: Bacteria
Description: partial 16S ribosomal RNA
Rfam family: Bacterial small subunit ribosomal RNA
Source: RNAcentral